GUCUCUCGUUCUCUCAUUUACAAUUUAACACUUUAUCAGCCACGUUGCUCUCCAUCGAGCGAAUGGACGCCGAAGAAUCUCCCCUCAGUGGUGAAGACGCAGCCUACCUUUUUCUGUCUCUUGGCUAGUUUGUCUUCCUCUUCUUUUUGAGGGUAACGUAGUCAAAAUCCUUUAUUUCAGGGGAUUUCCCUUUUCUUUCCAAAUGAAUUUAUGCUUAGUCCGGAUCUCCCUCUUUUCCACUAAACCAUUUCAUUUCUAUAUGAAAAUAAGAGAUGCUUCUAGGGACAAUCAAGAUCACUAGGAAAGAGCUGAGUAGGCCUCGUCCUCUUCGUUCGCAACCUCGUCGCCGGCGCGGGGUCCUCGAGGUCGCCGCCGCGCUCCGCUCGACCGCCCAUCGUCGGGCCCCUGCGCCAAGCGGUGGCCGCGCCCGCCUGCGCCAUGGCUAGCAGCGCCAGGCCGUGGCCGCCCUUGCGAGCGCCCGCCCUGCGCUAGGCCUCGCCCGGUCCCCGACCGGCCGUGGCCGCGCCCGCCCGCGCCAGGAACCGCCCGUCCGAUCCCGCGCCAGGCCGAGCUACUGGGCGAGCGAGUUGGGCCAGAACGAAAAGAAAGCGACGGGAGGCGGUUGCGGGGCGCCGAAGGCUUCUUCUCCCGGCGGCCCUCAGCGCCACUGUUGCGCCCGGCGAGGCCCCUCGCGCGCAGCUGUUGGCUGACGGCGGCCAACAACCAUGGCCAUCCACGGCGUGUCGUGUUGCCCAACCCGCGGCGACUCGUGCGUGGCGCGGCUCCCCUCGUCCGCCCAUGGCGGAAGCAGCCCUGGUCGUGGCCUCCCUCUGGAGCGCGCGAUGCGGCUCUCGCCAUGGCGCAGCCCUCACCGGCCUCCCACGGCGGUGCGUGACAGCAGCGGCUCCCUCCCGGCGCGGAGGCGGUGCCCAGCGACGCCGUUAAAAGGCCGGCUACCUGAAGCGGUCUGCCCGGCACUGAUGUACGCCCUCUGAGGCUCGGUGCCCGUACAAGGUGAGGCCCGGCCUCGACCACUAGGCAGGCGACGCCCUCCCUACCGCAGCUCACGGCGGAGCCCGCAGAGGCUCCUCGGUGCGCUGCACCCGCAUCUUCUACGUCCCGUUGACGACGAAGGCCGCCGAUGAAGGCGAGGCAGCGCACGACGCGGCUCCCGGCAACUGAUGCAGAACGCCUGCACGGAUGCACCUGUGGUGGUGGUCUCUGUGUUGAGCUGAAGCAAUCGAUAGAAUCAAUCAAUUCGUAUCCAUAGGACCACACCAACGAAGAGAAAGGCAAACCUUAUCCACAGGACCACACCAACUUGAUACAACAUCAUUACUAUUCAUUACAAUAGUAGUGUAUUUCUGUUAAGUACGAUGUAUUCUGGAAUGUAU
Molecule: ribosomal RNA, 1394 nt
Filed under: Triticum aestivum (bread wheat)
Lineage: Eukaryota; Viridiplantae; Streptophyta; Magnoliopsida; Poales; Poaceae
Description: partial small subunit ribosomal RNA
Source: RNAcentral